This 490-nucleotide ribosomal RNA is filed under the name uncultured bacterium. RNAcentral describes it as "partial 16S ribosomal RNA". It matches the Rfam family "Bacterial small subunit ribosomal RNA", at positions 30 to 507 of the family's 1533-position model. The record is from RNAcentral.
AUUGAACGCUGGCGGCAGGCCUAACACAUGCAAGUCGAACGGUAACAGGAAACAGCUUGCUGUUUCGCUGACGAGUGGCGGACGGGUGAGUAAUGUCUGGGAAACUGCCUGAUGGAGGGGGAUAACUACUGGAAACGGUAGCUAAUACCGCAUAACGUCGCAAGACCAAAGAGGGGGACCCUCGGGCCUCUUGCCAUCGGAUGUGCCCAGAUGGGAUUAGCUUGUUGGUGGGGUAACGGCUCACAAAGGCGACGAUCCCUAGCUGGUCUGAGAGGAUGACCAGCCACACUGGAACUGAGACACGGUCCAGACUCCUACGGGAGGCAGCAGUGGGGAAUAUUGCACAAUGGGCGCAAGCCUGAUGCAGCCAUGCCGCGUGUAUGAAGAAGGCCUUCGGGUUGUAAAGUACUUUCAGCGGGGAGGAAGGGAGUAAAGUUAAUACCUUUGCUCAUUGACGUUACCCGCAGAAGAAGCACCGGCUAACUCCGUG